Molecule: ribosomal RNA, 408 nt
Filed under: uncultured bacterium
Lineage: Bacteria
Description: bacterial SSU rRNA
Rfam family: Bacterial small subunit ribosomal RNA
Source: RNAcentral
GUGGGGAAUAUUGCACAAUGGGCGAAAGCCUGAUGCAGCAACGCCGCGUGAGGGAAGACGGUUUUCGGAUUGUAAACCUCUGUUUUCGGUGACGAAUAAAUGACGGUAACCGAGUAGGAAGCCACGGCUAACUACGUGCCAGCAGCCGCGGUAAUACGUAGGUGGCAAGCGUUAUCCGGAAUUACUGGGUGUAAAGGGAGCGCAGGCGGGAUAGCAAGUCAGCUGUGAAAACUAUGGGCUCAACCCAUAAACUGCAGUUGAAACUGUUAUUCUUGAGUGGAGUAGAGGCAAGCGGAAUUCCGAGUGUAGCGGUGAAAUGCGUAGAUAUUCGGAGGAACACCAGUGGCGAAGGCGGCUUGCUGGGCUCUAACUGACGCUGAGGCUCGAAAGUGUGGGGAGCAAACAGGA